CGGACCCAAAGUAACAUAAACCAUUAUCUCAAACAUAAAAGGAAAGUUUAAACUAAAAACGUCAAGCACAAACAUUAAGAAAUCCUCUGAAAAACCAAAAAAAAAAAAGAGAGAAGGGAAGCAUGUAUUGUAUAACAGGUGGAAUCUAUCCAUAAACAUCAUCAACUCUUUGGGGAUGCCUUAGGCGGUCCAGCAGGUGGAGCAGUCUGCGAAGCCGGCGUACCACCACCACCACCAGGAGCAGUAGUUCCAGCAGAUCCAUCAGAAGAGUAACCGCCAGCAGUAGGAGGUUGUGCGUAUCCUCCAUAAGACCCAUAUCCCUGAGGUGCUUGACCAUACCCAUAUGCCGGAGGCUGUCCAUAACCCGAUGCAGCUGGUUGUGCAUACCCAUAGCUUCCAGGAGCACCAGGAGACUGCUGGUUCUGAGCAUAAGCCGGUGGUUUCCCAGCCUGUGGUGGUGCUCCAUAUCCAGAACUGUACGCCGUUGGUGGCUGGCUGCUGUAACCAGCUUGAGAAGUCGGAGCAGCUCCAUACCCUGCUUGACCAGUGCUACCUUGAGUAGGCUCUUCACCAGUUGGAGCCGACGAUGCCGGAGCGGCUUGAGAUGUAUCUUCCUCUUGACCCGGGUUAGCGGUGCUGCCGUAACCACCCUGUUGCUGGUCAUACCCAGCUUGGCCAUAUCCUGAUUGCUGCGAGGCAGUAUAACCUCCAUACCCAUCUUGCUGGUAUCCCUGACCAGCUUGGCCAUAACCAGAAGCAUUCUGGUAGUAACUGUACGGAUCUGUUGGUGGAGCUGAGCUUCCACCACUGUUUGGUGCCUGUGACUGUUGCUGACCGUAAUAAUCAUAAUCACCUUGUUGAGGGUAGCCAGCUGAAGUUUGUUGAGGGUAACUUCCGUAAGGUGACUGACCAUACUGAGGUGGACCCGGAUAUGCUCCCUGUUGCAUGUAACCAUAACCAGCUUGUUGUGCUGGCGGACCACUAGGUGGUGCCCAGCUUGAUGGUGGGCGGGCUUGAUAACCCUGUUGUUGAUAGCCUCCACCCAUUGAUGAGUUUCUCAUACGGUUCUGCAUAAAAUAAUAAAAUGGAAUAAUCAUAUAUAACUUUAGGGAAGAAAAAAAAGAGAGGCAACAAUACAGCAUAAAAACACAUAAACACAAAUGCAGAGACAGAUAAACGGAUAAAAAUACAAGAUAAAGAGAGGACUACACAGUUGUCAUAUACCAAUAUCUGUACAUACAGGAUCAACCAAGAUCAUAUCAUACUCUAGAAGGGUAUGGUGAUGCCUACAUACCGUACUGAUUGGUGAAUUUAUUGGGUUUACUCCUGCAGAAGCCCAUCCCUUUCCCUAUCCGAGGUAAAAUAGGUGCAAGAGAAACCACAAAUACUAUACAAGCUUUUGCAGAUAAACGCAACAUAAGGCAAAAUUUGCAUAGCAAGAUAAUCUAACACAGACUAAAGAGUUUUGUUUCAACAAUAAAAUACUCAUGGGAACAUAUUAGCAGAGUCUAUGGGAUGGGUAUGAUCUCUCUGUAGUACAUUAUAGCUAGAUGGUUCUACUAAAAACAAAUCCAGGAAGAGUAGAGGCAAGCAGAAUACAAACAAUUCUAGGUUAGUAAAAUAUUUGACAAAAGAAAAUGGCUAAUAGGUCUUCAAAGGUUAGUCGCCCACCUUUGGUGAUAACCUGAUGACUGUAACAAGAAGUUACCGCUGAACGGAACUGAUAGUUGAUAAAAGGGAGUUGGCGCAGUGUAACAAAAAGAAUAUAACAUAUAUUAUACAAACCCAAAAUCCAAAAAAUUAUCAGAUAGAUAACUAUUUUAUAAAUACUAUCACAGCAGGUCAGACUGAAACUGUCCAGCAACCUCACAGUGUGUCUGCAUAUACUCCAUAACAUAGACAACAGAAUUCUCCGUUACGAAAAUAUCAUUUGAAAAGAGAAUGCAGAGAGUAUAAAUCUCUUAGAAACAAUGGAAUUUAGAAAGGACGAUGCUACGCAUAUUGUACAUUUGGAUUCUUAAAAUUUAAAUUGAAAAGUGUAUGCAAGAAAAGGGCGAUAAAAAAUUGUCAAAAGAAAGAUAGUAACAGUGGUAAGAAAUUAGUGAAGGAAGGUACUGGAAAACAAUGAACAGGGGAAGAAGCAACAUAUAAUCGCUUACAACUCCAGUAACAAGAUGAAUUAUCAUUUUGCAAGUCAAGAAAAUCACAAGAUUGUGAACGUUCCCCUGCAAAUAAGCGGAAGAGAAGAACUACGGACUUUAUAGUAGAUGCAGUUAUCAUGAAAUGGAGGCAUAAGAAGAAUAUGAGAACAACGAGUACUUUAGCUGUUGAUACAUUUACUACGUAACACUAGUCUAAACUAUAUCACCCAUCACCUAGAUUAAUAUCCCAUGCUUAACAUUUACGGAUUAAGGAAUAUGCUAGAUAAUCCUAAAACUGAUGACAAAUAAAUUAUGCAAGCACAACACAAUAUGUAGAAAAAUAGACACUGCAGAAGCCAGACACAGUCCAUAGCAAACAAAACAAUCAAACAUACCUCGCCACUGAGGAUUUCAUUAACUAAUUGUUUAGCAUGUUCAAUCUGAUCGGUGGUCCCAUCAAUCUGCAAAGUUCUUUCUGGAGUAGGGUCUCCAGGGGGCAAAUGCAAAGGAAUAACCUGCAAACAAUUAAAAACAGCUUUAAACAACACUUCACCUCCAGAAUACAACACAGAAGCUUGCUUAUAUGUGGCACUUUCACAAACCUGAAUACGAGCUCCAGUAUUAGCUUGCAUAGACUUGAUUGUCUCACCUCCUUUACCAAUCACCAAACCAACCUAGAGCAGUUCGUGGGGUUACAUAACAAGACACACCUCACAAUAAAAUAUCUCAAUCUCCAGAGCACUAACUACCUUGUUAUUAGGAAUCUUCAUAACAAACUGAUCAGCUCCCGGCUGUCCACCCAUCCUACGAGAGCCGCCUCCACCUGAACCUGCUCCGCCACCUGUCUCAGCCUGAAAAAAACAAAUUUAACCAUUAGUAAUCACUUUUCCAUCACAAUGAUAAACAAUUAGUAGUAGGCAUACAUCUUGAAGGACUUCAUUGAUCAACUCCUCAGCCCUAGAGAUCUGAUCCGGUGUGCCGGUAAGGUCAACGGUCCUGGUAGGAGCAUUAGGGUCAGCAUCCAUAUCUCUAGUAACCUGAAUCUUGGCUCCAGACUGAAGCUGAAGAGACUUGAUCGUCUCUCCGCCUUUACCAAUAAUAACUCCAACUCUCAUAUUCGGGAUAUCAAUCUUCUUCGUAGUCGCCGUGAAGCUACCGUACGAAACAGGUAUCGAAGACGUGUUCGACAUCUGCCUCCCCUCUGCAAACCAAAGAUCAGAUCACAAAAUCAAAUCCAAUUAGAGAGAGAGGGAUGAGAGGAAGAUUGAUUCAACGUACCAGAAGAGUACGAAGAGCUAAACCCCUUGUCGCCGCCGUAAUCGUAAGAAGAGGCGUUAUCGACGCGGGGACGCUUCGCGUCGGCGCUGUUGAGGAGACGAGCGGCGAUCUCUUGCGCCUUCUGUUUGGCGAUCUGGAUCUCGUCCAUAGGAGGAGGGACGCUGUUGUAGGAAGACGGCGGGGGGACGGCGGAGGGAUCGGGAGAGGCGGAUGGGAUCGGACCGGAGGAGAAGCCGGUGGGUCGACGAGUCGACGGAGGAGGAGGAGGAGGAGCGGUUUGCUCUUCGUAUUUGCGCUUGUUGGAGUAUUGAGAUUCGUCGGCCAUGGUUGACGAUAGAAACCCUAAGAGGCGGAGAUAAGGAGAAGAAAAGAGUGAGGUCUUAAAUAUACACACGCGUUUAUAUAUAUAGAGUAAAUUUCACGACGACAAACCAUGGCAAUAAGAGAUAGUAUAUUUUAAAUAAAUUAGCAUUAAAAUUUUAUUUUUAUAAGAUUUAAUCUUAGUUUUAUUAAAAUUUAAAUAAAAUAAAAUAGUUAAACCAAAUCAAAAGAAAGAAGACUACGAAAUAAUACGUUUAUGGUUUUAUUUUAUUCUAUACCAUGAAGUAAAAAUAUUCAAGUAAUAAUGUACAAACAUAAACUAUUUUUAAAUAAAAUAAUAUUAUAUUUAAAAUUAUUAUUUUGUACAUGGCAGAGGAAUAUUAUUUUACUGGAGUUUAUAUAUCUAAAAAUAGACAUAUUUAAAACUAGGUGAUAAAAAAAAUAUUUAAAAUAAAUGAUCAUUAAAUAUAAUAUAAUAUAAAUUAAAUUAACAAUUAGAGUUUAGGGUUUAGGGUUUAGAGUUGAGAAAUGAGGUUUUGGGAAUAAGAUUUCAAAUUUUGAAAAAUAAAAAAAAUUAAAAUUUUCAAAGGAUAAACUUAGAAAGGUGCUAUUUUGGCCAUUUUAGUUUUUGAGUGCUAUUUUUGUGAUAUAAACUUAGAAAGGUGUUAUUUUGGAGAUUUGACCUAUUUUUAACUUAAUUUAUAUAUUUAUUAUAAAACUAUAAAAAUGAAAUAUUAAUUAAUACUAUAAUAUAGUUAUUUUAUAAAUAUUCAUAUAUGUGCUUAACUUUUUAGAAUUUCCAGGUUAUAUUUGCUAAUGCAGCUCUAAUUCCACAUACACAUUUUCUUUUGUUUUCUAUUUUUCCCUAAAACAUAUGUAAAUUAUUAUAUAUUUACAACUCUUUUUUUUUUUUGUCACUGAUAUAUUUUACAACUGUAUAUUUACAACUCUAAAAGAAUGAAAAGUAUAACUAAAGAUAAAUCAAAUAUUUCAUUAUCAUAGUUUUUAUAAGUAUUUAUAAAACGGAAAAUCACCUAGUUUUACGGUUGAACCUGUAUGUACGUUUUGUGAAGCAGAUACUACUGCAAGAGAACAUAUUUGGUCUCGUCUUGCCUAGUGAAUUUGAUAAAACCACACAAACUCGCUCAGUGUAUUUUUGGAUACAAGGAAUAGUUUGUGUAAUCUAUAAGUAGACAGCGGACCCAAAGUAACAUAAACCAUUAUCUCAAACAUAAAAGGAAAGUUUAAACUAAAAACGUCAAGCACAAACAUUAAGAAAUCCUCUGAAAAACCAAAAAAAAAAAAGAGAGGAGGGAAGCAUGUAUUGUAUAACAGGUGGAAUCUAUCCAUAAACAUCAUCAACUCUUUGGGGAUGCCUUAGGCGGUCCAGCAGGUGGAGCAGUCUGCGAAGCCGGCGUACCACCACCACCACCAGGAGCAGUAGUUCCAGCAGAUCCAUCAGAAGAGUAACCGCCAGCAGCAGGAGGUUGUGCGUAUCCUCCAUAAGACCCAUAUCCCUGAGGUGCUUGACCAUACCCAUAUGCUGGAGGCUGUCCGUAACCCGAUGCAGCUGGUUGUGCAUACCCAUAGCUUCCAGGAGCACCAGGAGACUGCUGGUUCUGAGCAUAAGCCGGUGGUUUCCCAGCCGGUGGUGGU
Molecule: long non-coding RNA, 5396 nt
Filed under: Brassica napus (rape)
Lineage: Eukaryota; Viridiplantae; Streptophyta; Magnoliopsida; Brassicales; Brassicaceae
Description: long non-coding RNA (BNAP_LNC016287)
Source: RNAcentral